AAGGGCAAGACUGGCUCGGGAGGCUUCCAGGGGAUUUUAAUCGUCCUGGGGCAGGGGUAGGCCUAGGUCUGGCCUUGAGGUCCCCGAUUCUGAGACCUCAGGGAAGAAUUCUCAUACUUUAGAGGCCGCACCCUCUCCGAGCGCGCUCGCGGGCGUUUGGGCGCCGAUGAGGGGCUUUCUCCGGGCGCGAGUGCACGAAAGGUAGCGCGAGUCUCUUCUCAGGCGACCCGGGAUAAGAGGACAGGAGAGCGGGGUUUUCUGACUUCCAACUCAUUAGGGACCAGAGAGAAAGGCUAAUUGCUAAAACUUUUGACACUGGAAAACUUGGUUAGAUUAGUAACCAAAGAUAUCAUCAUCUUAGCAACAGGAAAUCUUGGAAAAGGUUUUCUUUCUUCAGGAUCAGACACAGUAACUGAUGGAGUGGCUCUGCCCAUCAGGAUUUGAAAACCUAAAAUCAGAAUCUACCACUUGGUUUAAGUCUGCCCUGAGCAAUCUAUUCUUUAGCAACAGGACACUUGCGUAAUAUGGGAGCAUCUUUUCUUCUUCACUUCUCCCUGAUCUUGUAAAAUGUGAUACAACUUUUUUCAUAAUUUUUAAAGUCUACUUCAUGGGAAAUCUUGCUGCAAAUACAAUAUAAAAACUAAAAUUCAUUCCUUGAAAGAUGUGUGCAGAUGUUAAUUAUUCAUACUGCACGACUGAGGAUUUUGGAGUCAGAGAUUCACCUGCAAUAUUUGGAAUACCAGUGGAGGUCUACAUCAAUGCAGAAUUUAUACAGCAGCUGGUGCUAGUCAAAGCUAAUGAUGGAAUUUCAGUUUAAUAAAAAGACCCCCAACUGAGCACACCAUCUUGAAAAAAGUAUACUUAUCAAACAGCUUUCAAUCAGUUCAAGAGAGACACCUUAAUUGGGAAGAGGAAUAUUUGAGAGUAGUUUGUCAUUGUGCCAAUUCCAGAUCAAUAACUUCACGUCUGUGCUUUGGUAGACAUUGCUUUUGC
Long non-coding RNA from Balaenoptera musculus (blue whale), 993 nucleotides. RefSeq lists it as uncharacterized. The transcript has 4 exons. The record is from RefSeq and is a predicted model, not a curated record. Lineage: Eukaryota; Metazoa; Chordata; Mammalia; Artiodactyla; Balaenopteridae.